AUGCUACCGACAAAUAUGCUCAAUGCUGCAACCGGUGCUAUGUGGAGUCUGCAUGACAGUGUUCUUUCUUUGGAGAAGCGGCGUCUCAGAGAGAAGGAUGUGGCAUACCCGGUUUUCGCGGCCAAGGUGCCAGAGGGCAAGGGCUUUGUGGAUAACUCCAUCGGGCGUACGAUCGUCCUGCGGUUUGAUGACAUCCACGUUAUGAUGAACCUUCAUCCGCUGCACUACACCUUCGUUCGGCUAUUUUCGCUGAGUAUGGAGAUGCGGAUCAUUCGCGACAAGACCCCGGACAUCGUGAUAGUCGACCCCUUCUACAUGCGUGCCAAGAUCUUGGGCAGCGCUGGGGACCGGCAAGUCGUGAGUUCUUACCUCGAAGGCGUCAUUCUGGCAAACCAAGAUAAGGAUAACUUCCUCGUGCCUUACUUUCCCGAGUAA
RNAcentral lists this ribosomal RNA (435 nucleotides) under Triticum aestivum (bread wheat). RNAcentral's name for it is "partial small subunit ribosomal RNA". The record is from RNAcentral. Lineage: Eukaryota; Viridiplantae; Streptophyta; Magnoliopsida; Poales; Poaceae.